This 949-nucleotide ribosomal RNA is filed under the name Escherichia coli. Its description in RNAcentral is "partial 23S ribosomal RNA". It matches the Rfam family "Bacterial large subunit ribosomal RNA", at positions 2000 to 2925 of the family's 2925-position model. The record is from RNAcentral. Lineage: Bacteria; Pseudomonadati; Pseudomonadota; Gammaproteobacteria; Enterobacterales; Enterobacteriaceae.
CGUAAUGAUGGCCAGGCUGUCUCCACCCGAGACUCAGUGAAAUUGAACUCGCUGUGAAGAUGCAGUGUACCCGCGGCAAGACGGAAAGACCCCGUGAACCUUUACUAUAGCUUGACACUGAACAUUGAGCCUUGAUGUGUAGGAUAGGUGGGAGGCUUUGAAGUGUGGACGCCAGUCUGCAUGGAGCCGACCUUGAAAUACCACCCUUUAAUGUUUGAUGUUCUAACGUUGACCCGUAAUCCGGGUUGCGGACAGUGUCUGGUGGGUAGUUUGACUGGGGCGGUCUCCUCCUAAAGAGUAACGGAGGAGCACGAAGGUUGGCUAAUCCUGGUCGGACAUCAGGAGGUUAGUGCAAUGGCAUAAGCCAGCUUGACUGCGAGCGUGACGGCGCGAGCAGGUGCGAAAGCAGGUCAUAGUGAUCCGGUGGUUCUGAAUGGAAGGGCCAUCGCUCAACGGAUAAAAGGUACUCCGGGGAUAACAGGCUGAUACCGCCCAAGAGUUCAUAUCGACGGCGGUGUUUGGCACCUCGAUGUCGGCUCAUCACAUCCUGGGGCUGAAGUAGGUCCCAAGGGUAUGGCUGUUCGCCAUUUAAAGUGGUACGCGAGCUGGGUUUAGAACGUCGUGAGACAGUUCGGUCCCUAUCUGCCGUGGGCGCUGGAGAACUGAGGGGGGCUGCUCCUAGUACGAGAGGACCGGAGUGGACGCAUCACUGGUGUUCGGGUUGUCAUGCCAAUGGCACUGCCCGGUAGCUAAAUGCGGAAGAGAUAAGUGCUGAAAGCAUCUAAGCACGAAACUUGCCCCGAGAUGAGUUCUCCCUGACUCCUUGAGAGUCCUGAAGGAACGUUGAAGACGACGACGUUGAUAGGCCGGGUGUGUAAGCGCAGCGAUGCGUUGAGCUAACCGGUACUAAUGAACCGUGAGGCUUAACCUUACAACGCCGAAGGUGUUU